RNAcentral lists this transfer RNA (87 nucleotides) under Paludibacteraceae bacterium. Its description in RNAcentral is "tRNA-Ser". It matches the Rfam family "tRNA". From Rfam's summary of the family: Transfer RNA (tRNA) molecules are approximately 80 nucleotides in length. Their secondary structure includes four short double-helical elements and three loops (D, anti-codon, and T loops). Further hydrogen bonds mediate the characteristic L-shaped molecular structure. tRNAs have two regions of fundamental functional importance: the anti-codon, which is responsible for specific mRNA codon recognition, and the 3' end, to which the tRNAs corresponding amino acid is attached (by aminoacyl-tRNA synthetases). tRNAs cope with the degeneracy of the genetic code in two manners: having more than one tRNA (with a specific anti-codon) for a particular amino acid; and 'wobble' base-pairing, i.e. permitting non-standard base-pairing at the 3rd anti-codon position. Lineage: Bacteria; Pseudomonadati; Bacteroidota; Bacteroidia; Bacteroidales; Paludibacteraceae. The record is from RNAcentral.
GGAAAGAUGCCAGAGUGGUCGAAUGGGCCGCACUCGAAAUGCGGUGAACGGGUAACUGUUCCGGGGGUUCGAAUCCCUCUCUUUCCG